GGGGACGGCCCAUGGGCCGAACCCUCGGGCCUUCUUUAUACUUCCCCGGUUCGGUUCUAAUGGACCGGCCUAUGGGUUUAAUUUGGAGGUUUGGGUUGCUCAACCCAAAUGCGCGAAAAAGAGAUGGAAAUGACCAGCGGGCGAGUGACCAACAGGGUGGCCUUAAACUGUCGCGGAAAAGGGCAAAAACACCUUUAACGCAGAAAUUGGCCAUAUCGCCAACAGUACUGUGCCGCCGUCGCCGGUCACGAGAGGAAGCAGGAGGACGCGGAUGGAGUAGAGGCCCGGCAGAUUCCCCCUGAAAUGGGGAUCGGCGGUUCUGGUGACAAGGAAGGAGGCAACCCAUAAUUGUUUGCUGUGGACUCACGUCCAUAUGGGUAGACAAAGAGGAAGCAAGCCCUAUCCUAGAGACAAACUGGGUUGCCCCAUUGAUAGCCACGUGUCAGAUGGUCAUUGGUACAAAUAUUUUAUCCAUCACUCCCUAAGAAUAAUGGGCAACUAGGCUUGCCCACUAUCAUAUGUUAAUGCAUUGGGAGAAAACAACGAUCUCUUAAAUUACUGGUUUAUUGGUUAUACCAUUUCAUAUAGACCAACAUCAUAUUAAGGAAACAAUACAUGGGAUGAAAAUUGAACUUCAUUAUUGUUAAUAUUUACAUGAAAAUAAAUUUUCUAUCCCUUCAAUUAUUAUGAUAUACAUGAACAAACAUCCUUUUCUAUAUAAGCUUUUUAUGAGCCCACAUGUAAGCUACUACUCCAACCAUGAGCUCAUAGUCGAAUCCAUGGGAUGUCAUUAGACAUCAUGUGAUGGCGAGGCCUCUAGGAUCGUAGUCGAUGCAGUGAAGGUGUUAUCGAACAUCAAGAAGGCAUCGACCUUUUCCAGGGUCGUGAAAAAGACAUCAUCAGUGCAGUACAUCUGAUCACUGCCAAGCUUGACUGACAACAACGACGAAGCCCAUAAUGCUUCGAGCUCUUCCACAAUAAUCACAAGCUUACCUCCACCAACGUAUAUCGAAGAUGGUGAGGCAAGGUGGCUUCAUUUAAUGUAAUAGAGUCAUCGAAGGAAAGAAAAGUCUCUGGGGGUGUCACAAUAAGAGCCAACAUGGGAUCUUGCACCAUCGCGUUGGGAGCUUGGUAGACAUUGGACCACUAAUUCGAAUCCCCAACUUACCAUAUUUGUUGCUGUUGCUUCUAUCCUCCGCUGGAUUCUAUGACAAGUACAACCAAGUAUUUGAAUCCCCAACAUGGCUUCUUUGACGAUUCAUGCUUUACUAUUGAGAGAAUAGAAGAUUUCUCUCUCUCUCUCUCUCUCUCUCUCUCUCUCUCUCUUUAGCUCAACAAAGCUACCACAGGUUAUUGUCUCUAUGGUGGCCUUCGUGAACGUGGAUUCAUCUCCGACUCAUUUGAGCCGGGACUGUUUGAAGCUGCCACUGAAGAUGGCCUAUUGCGAGCUCUUCUUGACGUGACAGAGAACUUGUCUCUUGAAGCCGUGGGAUACGGAAGAACACAUCGUACAUUGUCCACUCGGAGUUCUUUCGCUAGCCGUUGUUGAAGGAUAAGCACCUCUUUUGCCCCACCAUGAUCUUGUGCUCGUCGACAAUGGACUUGACGAGUUCUUGCAAGAAUUGUUAUCGGCCUUUCGAUCCACAUGUUAGUUGUCAUUGUUCUUGAGCUUCCGCUUCACAAAGAAAUAGCCCUCCUACUGAUCGUUGUCGAGAAGAUUCCAAAGCUCAAUGUUGUAGAUGUUGGCGAAGUCAAUAGCGCGAACAGAGGUGUCCAUCAGCAACCUAGUUGCUGAGGUAGUCAACCACUAGCUCCUUCGCAGACGAAAGGAACAUAUAGCCUCUUGGAACAAGGUCGACAUGCUCCAUGGAUGACUCAAGUUAGUUUUAGGAGAGGAGAGAGGAGACGGACCCAUCUUUGUCACACCCGCCAAAUUAACAUAUUCAAGAGGCAUGAACCUAUCUUAAAUCAAGAAUAUUAUGAUUCAUCCACAUUUCAAAUUUCAAGAUCCAAACUAAUAUUUGAGGACACUGAAAAAACAUUCAAACAUUAUUCACAUCUAUAAAGCUUGUGCAAUUUAUAAUCAUAUACCACAUCACUCGAUAAUUCACAUAACCCAAAGUCAACUUAACAAAAGAUUAACCACACUUACAAAUCUAGAAAGAAAAAGGAGAAGAAAUGGUUUCUUGAAGAUAAGAGGAGUGGAGAUGAGGAAGGAGCAAGGGGAAGGGGAAAGACUUGGGUGGGGUUUCAAUAGUAUGGUUUGACCAUAUGUACUCUAAAGGAAGGACCCAUGCUGCUAAAACCUCAUCUAAGUCUUUCCUCUUCUCCCUUCUCCUUCCUUAUCUUCUCUCCUCUUCAAGAAAUCAUCUCUUCUCCCUUUUCCCUCCUCAUCUCCGCUCUCCUCUCCUUUUGAGGAAACCAAAGCUCGUCGCCCUCGUUUCAAGAGGCUAUAGGUUCCGUCUACGAAGGAGCUGGUGGUUGACUACCUCGGCAACUGGGUCACCGACAAACCCCUCCUUGACCAUGUUGUCACCUUCGAAAAUGUCUAUGACAUCGAGCCAUGGAAUAUUCUCGACAACGAUCGGCAAGAGGGUUAUUUCUUUGCGAAGCGUAAACCCAAGAACAGUGGUGACUUGUGUGUGGAUCAAAAGGUCAACGAUAGUUCUUGCAAGACAACAAGAUCGUGGUGGGGCAAAAAAGCUACCUAUAUUUCAACGACAAUCAACUGAAGAACUCUUGAGUGGACAAUGUAUGAGUAUGAGAUGUGUUAUUUCACAUCCCAUGGUUUCGAGAGACGAGUUCUCGGUCACGUCAAGAAGAGCUCGCAAUAGGCCAUCUAUGGCAGCAACUCCAAAUACUCCCCAUCGCAAAAGGGUCAGAGAUGAAUCCAAGUUCAUGGAAGCCGCUAUAGAGAGUCAUCGGCGGUUGCUUCGUUGCGCUAAAGAGAAAGAGAGUUGAAUCUUCUACUCUCUAAGCAGCAAGGCAUGAAUCGUCAAAGACGCCAUGCUGGGGAUUCAAAUAUUUGGUUGCACAUAUCAUUGAUUCCAGCGGAGUAUUACAGCAAUAGCAACAAAUAUACAAGCUAGGGAUUCGAAUCAAUGUUUUGACAUCUACCAAGCUCCCACCACGUUGGUGCAAGAUAAUACAAGAGUCUAAGCAUAAGCAUAGGACAUGACACUAACGUAAACAUUAUUACACCACGCAAUACAGGAGUCUAAGCAUAAGCAUAAAUUGAUCCAACUGAGGAGGUGUCAUCUUCCCAACUGGAUGCCAUCGGGACUAUCUGCAUAUGUUGAUGUGACGUCGGUCGAUGGACCCAAUCGUAAAGUGAAGUCAUGCGUCGGAUCUUCAUUCUCGGAUUGCAACUGAUGAUUGAGUUCUUACUACAUGCUUGCAUGUCUCUUUCCUUGAUUUGAGAGAGAAAGUCUCUCUCAUAGAGGGGAGUGAGGGACUCCAUCAAUGGUAUGAUUGAACACAAAAAUGGGCUAAAAUAUUGAGCAAUCAUUUUUUGUCUUUUUAACCUAGAGAUUGGAACAUUGUAGGGAUGGACAAAAAUGUUGAUCAAUCAUCCUUCAUCUUGACUUGAAUUGAACUCCUUGUAGUUGUUGGCCAAGCUUAGGAUGACGGAUUCCAUAUCUUUUAGCCUACAAGAUGAUGAAGGCAAGCCCCUAAAAGAGACGAGGAUAAAUUGUGGUCGCCACACGAAUGUAAAGGAUAUUUUCUUCUGAAUGUAAAGAAUUGAAGAGAGAAAAACAGAUAUCGUGUUCCUCC
This is a long non-coding RNA of Musa acuminata AAA Group (dessert banana), 3774 nucleotides long. RefSeq lists it as uncharacterized. The record is from RefSeq and is a predicted model, not a curated record. Lineage: Eukaryota; Viridiplantae; Streptophyta; Magnoliopsida; Zingiberales; Musaceae. The transcript has 2 exons.